AUUGAACGCUGGCGGCAUGCCUUACACAUGCAAGUCGAACGGCAGCACGGGUGCUUGCACCUGGUGGCGAGUGGCGAACGGGUGAGUAAUACAUCGGAACAUGUCCUGUAGUGGGGGAUAGCCCGGCGAAAGCCGGAUUAAUACCGCAUACGAUCUACGGAUGAAAGCGGGGGCCCUGCGGGCCUCGCGCUAUGGGGUUGGCCCCUGGCUGAUUAGCUAGUUGGGGGGGUAAAGGCCUACCAAGGCGACGAUCAGUAGCUGGUCUGAGAGGACGACCAGCCACACUGGGACUGAGACACGGCCCAGACUCCUACGGGAGGCAGCAGUGGGGAAUUUUGGACAAUGGGCGAAAGCCUGAUCCAGCAAUGCCGCGUGUGUGAAGAAGGCCUUCGGGUUGUAAAGCACUUUUGUCCGGAAAGAAAUCCUUGGCCCUAAUACGGUCGGGGGAUGACGGUACCGGAAGAAUAAGCACCGGCUAACUACGUG
RNAcentral lists this ribosomal RNA (486 nucleotides) under uncultured bacterium. RNAcentral's name for it is "partial 16S ribosomal RNA". It matches the Rfam family "Bacterial small subunit ribosomal RNA", at positions 29 to 507 of the family's 1533-position model. The record is from RNAcentral.